CGUCUGGAUUUUAAUGAUUUGUAUAUUCACAUUGUAGUAUUUAGUAAAAUUCUUUAAUUUAAGAUUUUUUGUAAAUACUGCAUAUAUAAAUCAUUGAUCUCACUCUCACCCCUGUUACAUUACAAUUUUGUCAUACCAUUUUGGAAAGGUUAUGAAAUAUGAAUUUGAUGUUUGAGCUCAGUCUGAAAUGUUUAGAGCAAUCAUGAGAAUAUUGAUUUUAGUUCAAAUUCUGAAGUUAAACAAUACUUUUGAUAAAUUAAGAGGCUGCUGACAGUGUCCCUUUCAGCCUUUAGUAUAGCAAAAGUGAGAUUUUAUAUUUCUAAUUAUUGAAUUAGUUUGAGGGACAUAUGAUUAAUACAGAAAUGUUGAUUUUAUUACAAAUGUCUGUUAUAAUCAUAUUCAGACUACUUCCAUAGCAUCCAUUACAGGGUUGAAGACAAAUGGUGUCCAUAUCAGAAGACAAUGCCAAGAGUGUGCAAAGCUGUCAUCAAGGCUAAAGAUGAACGUGGUACCUUCAGGCAUUUGGAAAUUGCUCUCAAGGAUGAACCAGACUUGUGGAGGUCUACAAUUUCUUUCCUGAGGUCUUGGCUGAUUUCUUUUGAUUUCCCCAUGAUCUCCAGCAAAGAGGCAUUGAGUUUGAAGGAAAACGACCCUAAGCACACAGCCAAGACAACGCAGGAGUGGCUUCGGGACAAGUCUCUUUAGGUUCUUGAGUGGCCCAGCCAGAACCUGGACUUGAACCCGAUCAAACAUCUCUGGAGACCUGAAUAGCUGUGCAGCGACGCUCCCCAUCCAACCGGACAGAGCUGGACAGGAUCUGCAGAGAAGAAUGGGAGAAACUCCCCAGAUACAGGUGUGCCAAGCUUGUAGCGUCAUACCCAAGAAGACUCGAGGCUGUAAUCACUGCCAAAGGUGCUUCAACAAAGUACUGAGUAAUUGGUCUGAAUACUUAUCUAAAAUUUAUUUCAGCUUAUUUUUUAUAAAUUUGCUAACAUUUCUAAAAUCCAGUUUUUGCUUUGUCAUUAUGGGGUAUUGUGUGUAGAUUGAUGAGGGGGGAAAAACUAUUUAAUCCAUUUUAGAAUACGGCUGUAACGUAACAAAAUAUGGAAAAAGUAUGUCUAAAUACUUUCCGAAUGCACUGCAUAUACUUAACAUGGACAACAUUAGUCAACAUAUGCAUGUGGUUAUAAAAAUAAAGAUAAACAAUAAUAAUUCAUUUGAAUAACUUCAAAGUCAACCCUGUCAGUCUCACAACCUUGUUAUGAUCAAACAAGUAACAGGGUUGAGUUUUUUGGCUCAAAAUGGCCACUGCUCCUCAUGUGGUGAAGAACAGGAGACAACAUGGCAUGCAUGAAAUUCCAUAUACAGUUGAAGUCGGUUUACAUACA
Salvelinus fontinalis (brook trout) is the source of this 1388-nucleotide long non-coding RNA. RefSeq lists it as uncharacterized. The record is from RefSeq and is a predicted model, not a curated record. The transcript is spliced from 3 exons. NCBI's taxonomy places the organism in Eukaryota, Metazoa, Chordata, Actinopteri, Salmoniformes, Salmonidae.